Molecule: small RNA, 133 nt
Filed under: human gut metagenome
Description: Ribosomal protein L10 leader
Rfam family: Ribosomal protein L10 leader
About the family: This family is a putative r-protein leader autoregulatory structure found in B. subtilis and other low-GC Gram-positive bacteria. It is located in the 5' untranslated regions of mRNAs encoding ribosomal proteins L10 and L12 (rplJ-rplL).
Source: RNAcentral
UAUUUCUGUUAUCCGCAGACAGCAGGUGCCGUAAGGCGUAAAGAGAAAAUGCCUGCCGAGGAAAUAUCUUUUGCAUAAUUUUAAUUAUGUACUUUAAAGGUUUUCCGGUGCGGACGGAAAACCUUUUUAUCUG